CACGCCCUAAACGAUGUCUACUAGUUGUUGGGUCUUAAUUGACUUAGUAACGCAGCUAACGCGUGAAGUAGACCGCCUGGGGAGUACGGUCGCAAGAUUAAAACUCAAAGGAAUUGACGGGGACCCGCACAAGCGGUGGAUGAUGUGGAUUAAUUCGAUGCAACGCGAAAAACCUUACCUACCCUUGACAUGUACAGAAUGCCGAAGAGAUUUGGCGGUGCUCGCAAGAGAACUGUAACACAGGUGC
This 247-nucleotide ribosomal RNA is filed under the name uncultured bacterium. Its description in RNAcentral is "partial 16S ribosomal RNA". It matches the Rfam family "Bacterial small subunit ribosomal RNA", at positions 796 to 1041 of the family's 1533-position model. The record is from RNAcentral. RNAcentral also lists the same sequence under 1 other name.